RNAcentral lists this ribosomal RNA (253 nucleotides) under uncultured bacterium. Its description in RNAcentral is "partial 16S ribosomal RNA". It matches the Rfam family "Bacterial small subunit ribosomal RNA", at positions 524 to 776 of the family's 1533-position model. The record is from RNAcentral.
UACGUAGGGUGCGAGCGUUAAUCGGAAUUACUGGGCGUAAAGCGUGCGCAGGCGGUUUUGUAAGCCAGAUGUGAAAUCCCCGGGCUUAACCUGGGAAUGGCAUUUGGGACUGCAAGGCUCGAGUGCGGCAGAGGAGACUGGAAUUCCUGGUGUAGCAGUGAAAUGCGUAGAUGUCAGGAGGAACACCGAUGGCGAAGGCGGGUCUCUGGGCCGAUACUGACGCUGAGGAGCGAAAGCGUGGGGAGCGAACAGG